This 810-nucleotide ribosomal RNA is filed under the name uncultured microorganism. RNAcentral's name for it is "bacterial SSU rRNA". It matches the Rfam family "Bacterial small subunit ribosomal RNA", at positions 56 to 843 of the family's 1533-position model. The record is from RNAcentral.
UGCAGUCGAACGAGGCGGAAGGGGGCAACUCCUUCCAGUCGAGUGGCGGACGGGUGAGUAACACGUGGGUAACCUGCCCGGAAGUGUGGAAUACCUCGGGGAAACUCGAGCUAAUACCGCAUGACAUCUUCGGGACGACAGUCCUGACGAUCAAAGCGGGGUCGCAAGAUCUCGCGCUACCGGAUGGGCCCGCGCCCGAUUAGCUAGUUGGUGAGGUAACGGCUCACCAAGGCUUCGAUCGGUAACCGGCCUGAGAGGGCGAUCGGUCACACCGGAACUGAGACACGGUCCGGACUCCUACGGGAGGCAGCAGUGGGGAAUCUUGCGCAAUGGGCGAAAGCCUGACGCAGCAACGCCGCGUGGAGGAUGAAGGCCCUUGGGUUGUAAACUCCUGUCGGCUGGGAAGAAAUCGUGCGGUGCUCAUACCACCGUACGUUGACUGUACCAGCAAAGGAAGCCCCGGCUAACUCUGUGCCAGCAGCCGCGGUAAUACAGAGGGGGCUAGCGUUAUUCGGAAUUAUUGGGCGUAAAGGGCGCGUAGGCGGCCAUGCGUGUCUUCCGUGAAAUCCCUCGGCUUAACUGAGGACGUGCGGAAGAAACUGCAAGGCUCGAGUCCGGGAGAGGGGGGUGGAAUUCCCAGUGUAGCGGUGAAAUGCGUAGAUAUUGAGAGGAACACCGGUGGCGAAGGCGGCCCCCUGGACCGGUACUGACGCUGAGGCGCGAAAGCGUGGGUAGCAAACGGGAUUAGAUACCCCGGUAGUCCACGCCGUAAACGAUGGGCACUUGGUGUCGCGGUAUCGACCCCUGCGG